UAGUGACCUCUUUCCGGUAGAGACCAAGAACAUGAUUUGUGGUAUCAGUAAUGGCGGGUAUCUCCCAUUUGAUGCCUGUGCUAAUAGUCAAACUGUGCCAGAUCUCAGCAGCUCUCGGCCCUGGCCUGUGGAGUGAGGACAGCCCUUUCCACCCCAGGCCAUUCUGGAUUCCACCAUUUGUCUCUGAGGUGGAAGAACAGGACACAAGACUGUGGCCUGAAUCGAGAGGCAAGCCUGCAGCCUACAGUACCUGUUGCAGGAGCUUGGCUGAGAUGCUCAUUGAGGAUCGUCUUCAUUGUGUCUUCCAAAUGAAUCAAGUGCUGUUUAUAGACCCACUUACCAGAUGGGGAAAUGGAGCUUCAGCAGAAAGAGAGAGAGAGAGAGAGAAAAAAAAGGUGCCCUUUGAAGGUUCUUUGCCUUCAAAGGAAGGCAAGUCGGAAGUCGGAGUAUUUACAAAAGCCUUUGGGCUGCUUCUUCCCCAGCACAGGAACCAAGCAGCAACCUAACAACUGUGCAAAAGGAUCAAGUCAAGUAGAGCAGCCUCUGGCCUCACCGUGGUCCUCACUGUCGCCCCUGACCCGGGUCAUCAGUGUGUGUGUUCCCACUGUUGAUGCAAGCACCAUCUGUUAAGAGUACCCCAGAUUUGCACAUUUACGUGACAGACCUCCAUUCUGCCCUUGCCCCACUUUCUACACCAGGGCAGGGCAGGGCAGCCUGGUGGCUGCUGCUUGCCUAGCCCGUGAGGGAAGACAGGAGAGCACCCAGGUCCCCCCUCCCCGCCUGUGCUUUAAUGACUGCAGUGGGGAAACAGAAUGUCUAACAUUAACAGAGUCAGGAAGUAAGUUCUGCAUUGACAUAGUUGCAACUCUUUUUGUAUUUUCCGAACUUGGGCUGAUUUGAAGCCUGCAGGAUGAGGACACAGGAUCUAGAAGUGCACGAAGGGGUGACAGGCCAACAAUAAAACCAACCACAUAGGAACAACUGGAAGGGAGUCCGGAAAGAGGGAAGCAGAAGCCUGCAGGAUGAGGAGUGAUUUCUGCUCUUGUACAUUUGCAGGAGUCCUGAUUCUUUCAAAUAAACACUCAUUUCACC
Molecule: long non-coding RNA, 1092 nt
Filed under: Mus musculus (house mouse)
Lineage: Eukaryota; Metazoa; Chordata; Mammalia; Rodentia; Muridae
Description: RIKEN cDNA 1700086D15 gene
Source: RNAcentral